CCUACGGGCGGCUGCAGUGGGGAAUUUUGGACAAUGGGCGCAAGCCUGAUCCAGCCAUGCCGCGUGCAGGAUGAAGGCCUUCGGGUUGUAAACUGCUUUUGUACGGAACGAAAAGCCCCCUUCUAAUAAAGGGGGGUGAUGACGGUACCGUAAGAAUAAGCACCGGCUAACUACGUGCCAGCAGCCGCGGUAAUACGUAGGGUGCAAGCGUUAAUCGGAAUUACUGGGCGUAAAGCGUGCGCACGCGGUUGAAAUCCCCGGGCUCAACCUGGGAACUGCCUUUGUGACUGCAUAGCUUGAGUGCGGCAGAGGGGGAUGGAAUUCCGCGUGUAGCAGUGAAAUGCGUAGAUAUGCGGAGGAACACCGAUGGCGAAGGCAAUCCCCUGGGCCUGCACUGACGCUCAUGCACGAAAGCGUGGGGAGCAAACAGGAUUAGAUACCCUUGUAGUC
RNAcentral lists this ribosomal RNA (450 nucleotides) under uncultured bacterium. Its description in RNAcentral is "partial 16S ribosomal RNA". It matches the Rfam family "Bacterial small subunit ribosomal RNA", at positions 338 to 795 of the family's 1533-position model. The record is from RNAcentral.